RNAcentral lists this small RNA (457 nucleotides) under Pan troglodytes (chimpanzee). RNAcentral's name for it is "retained intron". Lineage: Eukaryota; Metazoa; Chordata; Mammalia; Primates; Hominidae. The record is from RNAcentral.
UCCUUCUCCACACAGGCGAUUUCACCGAGCUGGGACUGCCCUCAGAGGUUAAGAAGUUUAAUGACUGGUUAGGAAACCUGCCAUAUGAAUAUAAAAUAGUGAUUGCUGGGAAUCAUGAACUGACAUUUGAUAAGGAAUUCAUGGCAGACCUUGUUAAACAGGACUACUACCGUUUCCCCUCUGUGUCCAAAUUGAAACCAGAGGACUUUGACAAUGUUCAGUCCCUCCUGACAAACAGUAUUUACUUACAAGAUUCGGAGGUAACAGUGAAGGGAUUCAGGAUAUACGGUGCACCUUGGUAAGUGAUGAUUCAAACAGUUUUCCACAUUGCUUUUUAGCUCAGUACCAAGAAAACACAGCUCAGAUUUAGAUGCUUUAAAUGAAAAUGAUUAGGAUGAAAGGAAACCUUAUUGCUGUAUUUCCAACAAAAUACAUACUGUACUGCUGCAAAAUGCAA